UACAGAGGGUGCAAGCGUUAAUCGGAAUUACUGGGCGUAAAGCGUGCGUAGACGGUUACAUAAGUCGGGUGUGAAAGCCCCGGGCUCAACCUGGGAAUUGCAUUCGAGACUGCGUAGCUAGGGUGCGGAAGAGGGAAGUGGAAUUUCCGGUGUAGCGGUGAAAUGCGUAGAUAUCUGGAGGAACACCGGUGGCGAAGGCGGCAUCCUGGACCGGUAUUGACGCUGAGGCGCGAAAGCCAGGGGAGCAAACGGG
This 253-nucleotide ribosomal RNA is filed under the name uncultured bacterium. Its description in RNAcentral is "partial 16S ribosomal RNA". It matches the Rfam family "Bacterial small subunit ribosomal RNA", at positions 524 to 776 of the family's 1533-position model. The record is from RNAcentral.